Orcinus orca (killer whale) is the source of this 4238-nucleotide long non-coding RNA. RefSeq lists it as uncharacterized. NCBI's taxonomy places the organism in Eukaryota, Metazoa, Chordata, Mammalia, Artiodactyla, Delphinidae. The record is from RefSeq and is a predicted model, not a curated record. The transcript is spliced from 2 exons.
AGCAAAUCAACCCAGCAGGCAUGCGCAGCGCCGAGGGGAGGGGGACUGACAACGCCGCAGCCUGCAGGAGCCUGAAUCUGUGCUUUCUCACUGGAAGACUGAGGAACGGACUAAUCCAGAUUUGGGGAAAUGAACUGCUGUCCAAUAAUAGUAUUCUGAUGUCUUUGAGAUGGUUUGAGAUUGGAUUAAACCACACAAAUAUAGACAGAGGUAAAAUAUUCCUUUAAGAAGUGAAUAAUACUACUAUCAAUCUCCCUAAAGAGAGGUCAGAACCUGGGGCAGGGGAUAAGGGGAUGAACCUUAGCCUGGAAUGAGGGGAAAACACUUCAUCUCUCUAGGCUCCCAGGAAAGGGGCUUGCCAUUGAGGAGAAAUAAACUGAUCCCUGCUACACUAGGGCCAGCUGGAAGCUGGCAAGAAAGGCACCCACAGGGUGGUCUUCCAGAGGGAGUAGGGCUUGUGGACUCUGAGAGCAGCUUAAGGUUCUUUGUUGUAAUUGCCUCAUGCUUCAUCCUCAAGCAAUUAGUGAAGUCUUGUUUAAUGUUAAAACCUGUUCCUAGCUACAGCUGGGAAAAUUGAGAGAUGGGGUAGUGAUGAUUCCUCAGGUCAAAGCAGAAGCAGGAGCUGCCUGGGGCAAGAAGUGAGAAAUGAGAGAGUAAAGUAUCAUUUGGAAGCCAGAUCAGAGGCUCAAGUGACACGAAGACAAGAUGCAACAUUAAAUAAACAUACAUUUCGAAAUUUUCAAUGAAGAACUUCGUAAAAGAUUUUGCCUCGGACUUUGCUGGUGGUGCGGUGGUUAAGAAUCCACCUGCCAGUGCAGGGGACACGGGUUCGAGCCCUGGUCCAGGAAGAUCCCACAUGCCACUGAGCAACUAAGCCCAUACGCCACAACUACUGACCCUGCGUUCUAGAGCCUGUGAGCCACAACUACCGAAGCCCACGCGCUUAGAGCCCGUGCUCCACAACAAAAGAAGCCACAGCAAUGAGAAGCCCGUGCACCGCAAUGAAGAGUAGAAGAGUAGCCCCCACUCACCGCAUCUAGAGAAAGCCCACAAGAAGCAACGAAGACCCAACGCAGCCAAAAAAUAAAUUAAAAAAUUAAUUUAAAAAGAAAAGAUUUUGCCUCUUGCUGUCCAGCUGAAUGUAGGCUUACAAUAUUGUGAUUGGGCAUGAAAUCAAGGAUAUGUGAGUUUAGUAAUAUGUCAUAUGAGUGCAGGCCAUUAGCAUCUGAGUUUGUCAAAUUGCCCCCUUUAGGUUAUAAACACAUUUAUAACCAAAACCUUAUCCUAUGCAUUCUCUUGUUUCAGCUGAAUACUAAAUUGUCCACUGAAACUUCAGUGACCUUUCCUGUUCCUGAUCCUAUAUAACAAUUACAUUUUAAAAAUUAAUUUCAGAGCAUAAUGAACAGCUGAAACUCAACACCCAACCCAAAGAUUAGAACAUUACCCAUAAAUUAUAUCUCCCUUUGUGCUGCUCUCCCAUGUGGCAUUCAAUGAAUAUCUGUUGAGUCAGUGAAAUAGUUACUGCUGUUUCUGUAAUGUGCCACAGUCGCUGAUGAUACAGAUCUCUGUACUUAGGCUCUCAAUAAAUGCAGGUGAUAACCAGCCAGAGAGCAGUAGCCUGAAUUGAGCUACUUACCACCCUUACCAAGAACACCAUUUCUCCCACUGUAUGUGUAGACAUUGAUUUUAGUUACUGCUGCCUUUCGUUAGGGAAACCAGAAAGUCUAAGUUAUAUAACUGCCACUUCCUAACCACUUUGGUAACAUUUAUUGGGAUAAGCAUCAAUCAAACCACUGAGAAGAUUGUUCUAGGAAUUCUGUAAGUAAGCACACCUUUAAAGUGCUGCUGGUCAAAAAACACCUUACCCUCGUUCUUGUGUGUGUGGAGUUUAGAAAAGUACUGAACCAGAGUAAAUUGAACUUCACGAUCACCUGGCCCUCUGCUCUAUGUCCAGGUGAACUUGUUUUGAAAUGAACACCAAGAAUCAGAAAUGUGAAAGGUGGAAAUAUGUGAAGAAAGGAGAAGCAGUGUAAGGAAAGACCUUUGGCUUUGCCUGUAGCAAGGGGAGAAAUGAGAACUCUACAUUUGAAGGUUACUGCCCAAGUUUCACAGACAUCUGAAGAAGGGUUACAGUUGUAUUGUGUGUGUAUUUUGAGAGAUGCAGUCAACUCAUUUACCUACCACCUGCUCUUUCUCCCCAAAAGUCUGUGUGGCUAGCACUCUUCAAAUAGAAGUGGAAAAAUCCUAAGAAUGAAAAAGGGAGAUUCUCCGACUGAUGGGAAGUGGGACAAAGAUUAGGAGCCUUUUAAACAAAUUGGAUGAAACCUCUGUUUCAUCAUGUUCUCCUUUAGCAGGUAGUGUAAAUCAUUUUGAAAGUUUCAAUCAUCUCAGCUACUCUCAGGGGAACCAAAAAAAUAACGUAAGUUCCUCUUAGGGUGAGACUUUCAUGAGAAGCUACGUCCCUCCCUGAGAGUCAGCUCUGUUGUGGUAGCAGUCUGCUAAAUAAGAGAACUCCAAACAGAAGGGGAAAUUCAUGAGGACCACAUAGGGGCCGGUUGGUCAGGUGAGCCUCCCCACGACUGGCCAUAAAGAUCUGUUUGUGUAAACAAAGGGAGCUGCUACCCCAUGCAGAAAUAAUAAAGGAGAAAAGAAUGAUAUUCUUACUGUGUACCUCUGAGUGAGUCAUUCUCAGCACCAGCUAAGCAAAAUGUUUAGUCUGUCCUACCAGCUGCACAUCCACUGAGAACCAAAAAUGCCUUUGCCUUACCAUGGGGCUCUACAUCCACCUCUCUUUAGAGAAGUUGCUCCUUGAAGGCAGUUCUUUCUAGAUUUUAUAUCCCUAGAGUCUGGCUCCUCCUAGGUAUUCAAUAUAUAUUUAUUGAAUGAAAGAAUUAAAAUUAAGUUCCACACUAUUUUAUAGAGCAAGCUUCCAGAAACAGAGAGCAGCCAUCAGUGGUGAGUUCCUAGCUCCCUAGAAGUACGGGAUUUCUUCUCUGAGUAGUCUUAAAUUGUUCACUUUUCUUCAUUUAUGUCUCCUGAAGACAGUGCUGAGUUACUUCUGUUCACUCUGUCAGAGUUUACAUUGAAAGACUAAUGCCACAAGAUAUACAAGGAGAUCUCACAACUUUUGAUUAAGUAGCUUUUUUUAGCUCUUUUAAGAGAUCUAGAUGUCAGAUUCUAGAAAUCAUGCCUGUCAAAUCGAACUCUGGGUACUUGGAGCCUCUCACAUCUCUGAUCUAACAUUUAUGCCAAUGAUCCUGCUUUUAGUCCCUCCAUAUAAAUACAUAAUUAAACAGGACAUUCUCAAAAAGUGCUUUCAAUGAAGAAAAACUUACUCAUAAUAACAAUGCAAAAUAAAAUCACAAUGAGAUGAUGUUUCACAUAUUGGAUAAAAUUUUAUAAGACUUUAUAGAAAAGGGUAUGGCAAAAGAGACAUUCAUACUUUGCUGUGGGGCAUAAAUUGAAAUAAACUAUUUAAAAGGUGGUAUGGUAAUAGUCAUCAGCAACUAAAAUACCCAACCCUAUAUGACACAGCAGUCCUACUUUUAGGGUACCAGUGAAAUCCUUGCAUGUGAGAACACAGAUACCCAUCAAUGUGUUAUUUUCAAGUAAGAGACUAUAGAGCAGUUAAAAGAAAUGUGCACACAUGCACACACACAGUUCAAUCUCAAAAACAUUUUAUCAAGUGAUAAAAGCAAGUUUCAGAAAGUUAUGUUACAAUGCAGAAAAAUGUUAACGUAGUAGCCUGAGAACACUAUUCUUAGGAAGACCUGCUUGCAAGGUGGGAAUUUGGAGCGUUCCCACUAUUCUUUGGCAAGAAUGGUGCAUUGUGCCUAAACUGUGCGAACAACGUGGUUUAUGCUGGACACCUGCUUGCUUUCUGGGAGUCUGGAAUUUUCGUACAUGCCAGGCAGAGCGCACCUCUGUGACGUGUCCUGAGUAAAACCUGGGCACUGAGUCGCCAAUGAUUUUCCCUGGUAUACAGCAUCUCAUUGCUGGAGGAAUUAAGCACAUCCUGCGUGACCACACUGAAAGAGAACUUUCGGAAGCUCGUGCCUGGUUUCCUCUAGACUUCAACUCAUGCAAAUUCUUCCUUUGCUAAUUUUGCUUCACAUUGUUUUCCUGCUAUAUAUCAUAGCCAUGAAUAUGACUUCAUGCUGAACUUUAUGAGUGCUCGUAGUGAAUCAUUGAACCUGGGGGUGUUCCUGGGGACCACCAAAUCUGUUCCCUAUACCAGU